Molecule: ribosomal RNA, 422 nt
Filed under: uncultured bacterium
Lineage: Bacteria
Description: bacterial SSU rRNA
Rfam family: Bacterial small subunit ribosomal RNA
Source: RNAcentral
UGAGGAAUAUUGGUCAAUGGACGGAAGUCUGAACCAGCCAAGUCGCGUGAAGGAUGACUGCCCUAUGGGUUGUAAACUUCUUUUGUAUUGGGAGAAUAAGCCUUACGUGUAAGGUGAUGACUGUACAAUACGAAUAAGCACCGGCUAACUCCGUGCCAGCAGCCGCGGUAAUACGGAGGGGGCAAGCGUUGUUCGGAAUUACUGGGCGUAAAGCGCACGCAGGCGGCGUGACGCGUCAGAAGUGAAAUCCCCGGGCUCAACCUGGGAACUGCUUUUGAAACGGUCAUGCUUGAAUCAUGGAGAGGGUAGCGGAAUUCCGAGUGUAGAGGUGAAAUUCGUAGAUAUUCGGAAGAACACCGGUGGCGAAGGCGGCUACCUGGCCAUGUAUUGACGCUCAGGUGCGAAAGCGUGGGGAGCAAACA